Andrographis paniculata is the source of this 8428-nucleotide long non-coding RNA. RefSeq lists it as uncharacterized. The record is from RefSeq and is a predicted model, not a curated record. The transcript has 33 exons. Lineage: Eukaryota; Viridiplantae; Streptophyta; Magnoliopsida; Lamiales; Acanthaceae.
GUAAGGAAGAAACUAGAAAGAAGCACGAGAGAGAGAAAGGGAUGGGAGAGAGAGAGGGAUGUAAAUGGAGAGAAGAGAAAGUCCAGAGACAAGAAGAGAGGAAAUCGAUCAUGGAAGAGGCUGUCUUCCGUCGUCUACGCCGGUCUUCGGCCGGCGGCCAUAAGAAAGUCCGUCGUCCCUAAUCAUCCGUCUUAGAACAAGAUCGAGAGAAAGGAGAAAAACCAACGCUUUGCCCGGCCUUCUUUCGUUCUGCUCUGCUCUGCCCACCGGACCCCUGAUAUCAACUAUGUCGAUGCAUUGUUAUUUCACUUGCCAUCCAUUGAUGUUUGAACCUUGCCGAGCUUAAUAUUUUAUUUCCUUCCUAUGUGAGGACUUUGAGCCUAGAGCAGUCUAUUUAUAUUUUUUUUUUCAUGUGUGAUGUUAGAUCUAAAUUGACAUUCUAGAACUUGCCUCGAAAUGCAUGUUGAACACACAUGAGGACCUGAUAGAAGUAAGAUGACGGGGGCAUUAGGUAUACCUACUUGGCUUAAAUCAUCCUACCAAAAAAUUUUAUCCACUAGUGAACACUGUUGAGCCUUUUUAUAACCUUUUCAUUCUUCAAUUAAUCAUUAAUCCUUUAGCCAUAUACCAUUUUUUGGAUUUAUACCUUAUAUUGAUCCUUGUGUCGAAGGAAGAGUGGAAGUUUUAUGGCUAUCAUUUAUAUUCUUCUUGUAUAAAAUGUAGAAAGGGAAAGUAUAGUGUUGUUGAUGUUUACAAAAAAGAAAAUAAAACAAAGGGGCUAGACCCCAACAAAACAAAAGAAAAAAAAAACAAAACAAAAAACAAAGUGCUGAAACAAAGCAGCACAAAAAAGAAAAAAGAAAACAAAAAAAAAAACAAAAGAUUAGUGGAGUUACGGUUACCAAUGUAAUGUUGAUUUCAGUUCUUACAAGUGAUAUGCUUUAAUUCUUUCCAUUGUUGUUUCGACACUUUUAGCCGUUCAUUAUCUUUUUUCUACCUAUACCCCGAGCCCCAUUACACCUGUUUAAAGACCCCCUGAUACUUGUCAUUAGGUCCCUUAAGUGAGGGAGAUAUGAUUGACAUGCAAGCCUAUAGGAUUGUCAUUUUUAUGAUUUAACAUGAGUGCAUACACUAACCCAUGGUGAGGUUUGUUGAGCUCAGCUUGGUUCACUCAUUAUUAUUAUCCAUUUAGCUGUAAUGCCGGGUGAAAGAUUGGAGUGCAUUGUUCAAGUACCACAAUGGAAAUGCAGUGCCUACUCAAAGAAAUGAACAAAAAGACGGAGAGAAAAAAAAUCAGAAAAAAAAAGAACUGAAAAAAAGGAAAAAAAAAAAGAAAAGAGAAAAAAGAAAAAGAAAAGCAAAAAAAGAAAGUCAAUCAAAGUGCAGAUGUCGAACCUGUUGAUGGCUGCAAAAGAAAACAUGAAAACAAAGAAACAAAGGAACUCAUUAGGUCUAAACAUCCUAUGUCGGCCUUCAUCUACUCACACAAGUGCCAAGCUGCAUUAAUUGUAAAAAAUAAGAACAUUGUGGAGGUUUUGAAGACCGUCGGUGAGGGUUGGACAUGCAAUACUUACCCAAAGAAAGUAAAAUAAAUAAAAGAACAAAAGAAAAAAAAAAUGAAACAGAAAAGAAAGCCAAUCCAAAUGCUCACUUCAUCGAGAUGUCGAACUUUUUGGGGGCAAAAUGGAAGACAAUUAAUGAAGUCGUGAAGGAAAACAAGAAAACUAAAUAGCAAGGAAAAGGACAUAUUAAAGCCAAAACAUCCUAUGUCAUGUCUCUAUCUACUCGAACAAACGGUGAACUACAUUGAUUGAAGAGAAUAAGAACAUUGUUGAGAUUGUGCCGGUGAAGAAAGGAAAUGAAGAAUGUGCUUAAAAGUACGGUCCGGCUAUUCUUUUGAAGUUGAGAAGAGAUAUUCAUCAUCUUUUGGAUGCCAAAGCUGAAAAGCACCACAAUGGACAUACAGUGCCUACCCAAAAAAACGAAAAGAAAAAAGAAAGAAAGAAAAAAAAAAUCUGAAAAAAAAAAAACGGUUAAAAAAGCAGAAAUGAAAAAAAAAAUAGAGAAAAAAGAAAAAGAAAGAUAAAAAGCAAAAAAGUUUAAAAAAAAGGAAAAAAAAAAAACUGUGAAAGAAAAAAAGAAAAAAAGGUGAGUAUAUAUGAAUUUGUUUACUUUUUACUAAAUCCUAUUGGUUGUUAGUUUGUUAUACAAUCAUAUAUGGUUCUUCUACACAGAUAGGAAGGUAAAGGACCCAUUACGGCCAAAACAUCCUAUGUUGGCCUUCAUCUACUCGAACAAGUGCCGAGCUACAUUGAUUUUAGAGAAUAAGAACAUUGUGGAGAUUGUGCCGGUGAAGAAAGGACAUGAAGAAUGUGCUUAAAAGUACGUUGAGAAAAGAUAUUUUAUCCUCUUUUGGAUGCCAAAGCUUUUUGGGCAGGGGAUGGUAUAUCCUUGGCUUAAUUACAUCUCAUUAAUGUUUUCUUUAUAAUGCAGCACCACAAUGGACAUGCGGUGCCUACCCAAAAAAACGAAAAGAAAAAAAAAGAAAGAAAAAAAAAUUCUGAAUAAAAAAAAUAGUUAAAAAAAAAAGAAGUGAAAAGAAACAGAAAAAAGCAAAAAAAUUUGAAGUAACAGAAAAAGAAAAAAGCAAAAAAAUAGAAAAAAAAGAAAGCUGUGAUGUGAAAGAAAACAAGUGCCGAGCUACAUUGAUUUUAGAGAAUAAGAACUUUGUGGAGGAAGGAAAAAGACCCAUUAAAGCCGAAACAUCCUGUCUCGGCCUUCUUCUACUCGAACAAGUGGCGAGCUAUAUUGAUUGAAGAGAAUUUGAAUAUUGUCGAGAUUGUGAAGAUGGGAGGGAUGGACAUGAAGAAUAUGCUUCAAAAGUAUGGUUUUGCUACUUUGUUGAAGUUGAGAAGAGAUAUUCAUCCUCUUUUGGAUGCCAAAGCUAAAAAGGUAAAUGUUUUGGCGGGAGAUGGUUUAUCUUUGGCCUUAUUUUGUGUUACAGUUUGCAAGUUUAUGCUUUUUUUGUUGUUGUUCUUACUGUAUUAUUUUGCAAAGAGAUCAAUAAAAAAGGUUGAAAAAUAGGAAAAAAAAAAAAAAAGAAAAUAGCUGGAAAAGGGGAAAACUUUUUUUAAAAAAAUGGAAACAAAGAUGAAAAAAUUAAGAAAAAAAAAGAAAAAAUGAAAAAAAAGAGAAGGAGAAGAAAAAAAUUGAAAAAAAAGCCAAUAAGAUGUUGAACUUAAGGAGAUGUUGAACCUGCCGGCAGCAAAAUGGAAAACAAGUCGCGAAAGAGAACAAGAAAACAAAGAAGAAAAAGAACUAAUUAAGCAGAAACAUCCUAUAUCACAUGAUUGUAGAGAACAAGAAUAUUUUGGAGGUUGUGAAGACGGCUGGUGAGAGUUGGACAUGCAGGACUUACCCAAGGAAAAAAAAAAAAAACGAAAAAAGAAGAACUACAAAGAGAGAAGGAAAGGGUCAGAUGCUGAAAUGUUGCGCACUUAUGCUACUGGCCUGCUGGCUGCAUGCUUGGAGAAUGGUGGUCAUCUAGUGGAAGAUGUGUUGACAUAAUGUGAUAUCUACGAGUACGGUUAACACAAACCAAAAGCUUCUAAGGUAUUGUUUGACAACAAAAGUGUGUCCAGCAUGGCUCUAAAGGCCAAAGAGGAUGGCAGGGGUAGGUCAAAGCAAAUGACAGAGAGUUCUCACAUGGAUACUGAGACUAUCAGAGCCCAUCCUACUGAGAGUGAACGUGAAAAAGAUCCCACAUCUAUAGACAACCUUGAUUGAGAUGAUGAGAGGUGUGGCAAUAUGCAAACAUAUGGGGAUGUGUAAUGAGGUGAUGAGGAACAUCUUGAUAGUGUAGCUCCUGAGGUUGAUGCAUAUGAUGCUGAAGCAGAUAGUGACGAGAAGUGCCAUAUUAGGGAUCUUUGCCAGUCAAAAGAAAAACCUGGUGGAAAAUCUCAUGGGGAAGAAGACUUUGAAGGAGUAUCGAUCGCGAUCAAGAGGUAGGUCCAAUGAAGGAUUUUCUGAGAAUGCCUCUCCAGGUUCUGCCAUUAUAUCUGGAGUGGGACAGAAUGGGAAAGAAAAAAGUCCGAUGACAAGUCAAGAACCGAGAAAAGCUUUUGAUGCUAAAAAAGGUUUAGGUAGAAACAAUGGCGAUUCUUUCAUCCUUGCAAGGGAUGAUACUGAUGAUUGCUUCCAACGAUGCAAGGUUGGCUCCAAAGACAUUACUGAGUUGGUUAUGAAAGCAGUCAGAGCUCCUGAGCCGAAGCAAGAACAGCCCAUGCACCUGCCCGUGCCAUUAAGGCUGCAGGUGCUGCUGCUGCUGAGGUCGUUAAGACAGCUGAUUAGAGGAAUACAAGAAGACGAAUGAUGAAGAAGCUAUUGUGGUUGCUGCAUCCAUAUCUUCAUCCCACUGUUAUGGAUGCUGCCAGUGCAGUUGCUCUUGCAAGGUGGUCAUUCCCUUCUGAAGUUCAGAGAGAAAUUCUGUAUCCAGUGUCUUGUUUUUCUUGGGGAGUAUGUUGAAGUUCUUGGUCCUUUACUCCAUGAGAAGGAGUAGAUGUAUGCCUUGCACUACUGCAGCGAAGUCUUAAGCUCGAAGAAACACCCUACACUAAAUUCCUUAUAGCCGCAAACCUUCUGUGAAUGCUACAUUGACCAAUGAUCGGGUUGGUAUAGCUGUCAUUUUGGAUGCUGCAAAUCGUGAUGGCUAUGGUGAACCUGAGGGUCAGCAAGCUUCUUCUAGCCAACAUGGAAAUCAAUCUGCUAUAAACUCCAGGGACAGAAAUUCAGAGAGGAAUGUCCCAAAGCGUGGUCCAAAUCAGAAUGGAUCAAGGGUUCGAACUGGGGAACUGACACCUAUGCCAUCAUCUGUUGGUAACACUUCAUCAUCACAGGCAUCUGCUUCACUAGUUGCUUCUGGUUUAGUUGGAGAUCGCAGGAUUUCGUUCUUGGCUUGGUGCUCAGCUUGAACAAGGAUAUCGUCAAGCUAGAGAAGCUGUUCGUGUAAUGCAUGCUUCUUCAGCUUCUCCAACCUCGAAUGGUGACAUCCCCUGCAGCUCUUGAUUGUCUUCGUGCUCUUACAUGCCGAGUGCUUUUAGGUUGAUGCUAUUGCAAUAUUGACCAUACUUCAGGUUGGGAAAAGUUAUCAGAGCUCAUCCGAGUGGGAGCCAAACUGCCAGUGGUGACCAAAAUAGAUGGCAGCCGACUUAACUCAAGUAAUCUUAAACUCUGAGGUGUGGGAUCUCCGGAGCCAUCAUUAGAUCAGACGGUCGGUGAUAAGAUUUAAUGCCAGUGGUGAUGUUAUAUAUGCAAUCCUCAGGCGAAAUCUAGAGGAUGUCACUUCAGCAUUCAAUGCACGCCGUGUGAAGCACCCUCUUUUUUCUGCUUUUUGCAUUGUGGAUGCUGUCAACUAUUCGGAUAUUGCAAAAGUUCCCGUGGAUCCCUGGUGUAGUUGCUAAAUUAUUCCUAGACUCUCUGCAGCAGAAACAAGAAGACAAAUAUAUUAUUCACAGACUCAUGAUUUACGAAUAUCCUCUACAUGUGGAUGCAGCAGCAAAUUGUGAAGUUACAUCACUUUGCAUUGAAUAGAAUUGGUGCAUGCGAGCGUGGUCCGAAUCAGUUGAAUCAAGGGACCGAACUGGGGAACUGAUGCCAUCAUCUGUUGGUCAUCAUCACAGGCAUCUGCUAGUUGCUUCCGGUUUAGUUGGAGAUUUAGGUGCUCGAGCAGGUUGUGCGGGGCUGGUUCGAAUGGUGACACCCCCGGCAGCUCUUGAUUGUCUUCGUGCUCUUACAUGCCGAGUACUUUAGCAGCUAGUGAUGCAGCGACCCCCACUUUGAGACCAUUGAAAGAGGAGCAGCCAUUGCUGCUGCUACUCCAGUUUCUUAUCAUUCUAGGGCUUAUCCAUGAGCACCUUCAAUUAUCUGAAUUAGGCUAUCACCAAUGCCAUCCUUGGCUGCUCCAUCAUCUUUAGCACAACACGCAUCUGGGCAGGAGUUGUCAUCAGUACAAAUGCAAUGGCCAUCUGAAAUAGCAACUUGUGGAUUCUUGUUGGAUAGACCAAACUGGUGAACAUACACUCAGACCAUAUGGAUUCGAACUUGUUAUGCACACCAUCUGUUGAGAGUUUGCUAACCAGUCCGACCUAUUUAUCCUCAUGUCUGCCCUGAGCCAAGCAUUCAAUGUUUGCAUCACUGCCAUCAGAUUCAUCCCGGCGUUAAAUCCUUGUGUAUGAUGAUAUCCAGUCUUGUCAAUUGGAUCUGACACUGACUGAUACUUCUAAUAACCCGUCUGGACAUGAUCAUGGAUGUGAUCAUUCAUAUUGACUCAAUGCUGCUUUGGAAUGGAGUUUUGUGGGAUCGCAAGACCAAUUCAUCGAUUUUAUCAAUUUACUGCCUAUGAUGGUGGGGGCUACCAUUCUGCUGGGAAUGAGAUUGUUGAACCAGCGUUGAAUUUGUUAAUAAACCUUGUGUGCCCUCCUUCAUGAAUAAGCAAUAAGCCAAGUCUCAUGCAAGGUCAGCAAGCUUCUUCUACCCAAGCUGGAAUCAAUCUGCUAUAAACUCCAGGGACAGAAAUUCAGAGAGGAAUGUCCCAGAGGUGGUCCAAAUCAGAAUGAAUCAAGGGAUCAAACUGGGGAACUGACACCUAUGCCAUCAUCUGUUGGUAACACUUCAUCAUCACAGGCAUCUGCUUCAUUAGUUGCUUCUGGUUUAGUUGGAGAUCGCAGGAUUUCAUGCUUGGACAAGGAUAUCGUAAAGCUAGAGAAGCGUUCGUUCAAGGCAUGGUAUAAAGGUUCUUCAGCUUCUCCAAUCUCGAAUGGUGACAUCCCCUGCAGCUCUUGAUUGUCUUCGUGCUCUUACAUGCCGAGUGCUUUUAGGUUGAUGCUAUUGCACAUAUAUUGACCGAACUUCAGGUUUGGAAAAGUUAUCAAAGCUCAUCCGAGUGGGAGCCAAACCGCCAGUGGUGACCAAAAUAGAUGGCAGGCGGAAUUAACUCAAGUGAGCUUAUUGGGCUUAUCCAUGAGCACCUUCAAGCAUCUGGAUUAGCUGAGAGUGCAUCUUUGCUAAGUUAUCACCAUUGACUGCUCCAUCAUUUAGCACAACACACAUCUGGGCAAGAGUUGUCAUCAGUACAAAUGCAAUGGCCAUCUGAACGAGCAACUUUUCAGGAACACCAUCAGUGUCUACUGGGAAAUCAAGUGGCGAUCCAGACAAUCCGAGAAGAACUCCAAUAGUGUUGCCAAUGAAACGGAAAAACAGACAUGAAAGAAAAUGGGUUUGGAUCAUCGGUAAAACUGGUGAACAUACACUCACACCACCUGGUUUUUCAACACCGAAUUCUGCUUGUAGAAGUGGUCUGCAGGUGGAUUCGAACAUACAUUUAAGGCGAGGAAGACGAUGAUGAUAAUGGCAGUGAGGUUCUUGAAUCUUUCAGCAGUGACUAUCUUCUGUGAUCGAUCCUUCUUAAAGCUGCAAUCCUACAGCUGAAGAUGCUCACACUUUUACGAUAAACCUCAUGAGAAUUGGUUGAAUCAAGAACAACAUCGUGAGGGGCAAGGCUAAUAAACCAAACCCGAUGAGAAUUGGUAUGUAACUUUCUUUCAUUUUGUUGAGAUUAAAUUGAUGCCUGAUAUCAAAUUGAUGUGUUUUCACUCUGGUGAGGUUAAAUCAAGAACAAUCAUGAUAAGAAUUGGUUGAAUCAAAAACAUCAUCGUGAGUAGAGGGAAGUAUUAGAGGCCAAAUCCGACAAGAAUUGGUUGAAUCAAGAACAACAUUGUGAAGUUAAAUGGGCAAGGCAUACGGACCAAUCAUGAUAAGAAUUGGUUGAAUCAAGAACAACAUCAUGAGUAGAGGGAAAGAUUUUAGGCCAAAUCCGACAAGAAUUGGUUGAAUCAAGAACAAAAUUGUGAUGUCAAAAGGGCAAGGCAUACAGACCAAUCAUGAUAAGAAUUGGUUGAAUCAAGAACAACAUUGUGAUGUUAAAGGGGCAAGGCAUACAGACCAAUCAUGAUAAGAAUCGGUUGAAUCAAGAACAACAUCGUGAGUAGAGGAAAGGAUUAGAGGCCAAAUCCGACAAUAAUUGGCCCCGAUUGCGAGUGAGAUGAAUCGAGAAAAACACCGAGAGGACUAGAUGGACGAGGUUACGGCGCGACUGCAGUUGAUUCAUGAAGUGUCCCCUGUUUUUUAUGUGCCAUUGUUGUCUUUAAUAAACCUUCACAAGGUUUAGGUUUGAGGUUUGGAUAUAAUAAUGAUUUAAAUUAAAAUAAUAUUUUAUAUGAUAUUUUAAAUGAUCCGAGAUCAGAAUUAGACCUGAUAGAAAAAUACAAGCUUUUUGGACAUCGCUUACCAAUGGAUUUUUGAAUACAUUGACCGGAGAUCGCUCUUGGCGAAUGAGCAAUUUUACUUCAAUAAAGUGAUAACAACAUUAGAU